RNAcentral lists this ribosomal RNA (446 nucleotides) under uncultured bacterium. Its description in RNAcentral is "partial 16S ribosomal RNA". It matches the Rfam family "Bacterial small subunit ribosomal RNA", at positions 338 to 795 of the family's 1533-position model. The record is from RNAcentral.
CCUACGGGUGGCAGCAGUCGACAAUCAUUCACAAUGGGGGAAACCCUGAUGGUGCGACGCCGCGUGGGGGAAUGAAGGUCUUCGGAUUGUAAACCCCUGUCAUGUGGGAGCAAAUUAAAAAGAUAGUACCACAAGAGGAAGAGACGGCUAACUCUGUGCCAGCAGCCGCGGUAAUACAGAGGUCUCAAGCGUUGUUCGGAAUCACUGGGCGUAAGGCGUGCGUAGGCUGUUUCGUAAGUCGUGUGUGAAAGGCGCGGGCUCAACCCGCGGACGGCACAUGAUACUGCGAGACUAGAGUAAUGGAGGGGGAACCGGAAUUCUCGGGGUAGCAGUGAAAUGCGUAGAUAUCGAGAGGAACACUCGUGGCGAAGGCGGGUUCCUGGACAUUAACUGACGCUGAGGCACGAAGGCCAGGGGAGCGAAAGGGAUUAGAUACCCUUGUAGUC